RNAcentral lists this transfer RNA (76 nucleotides) under Kutzneria sp. CA-103260. RNAcentral describes it as "tRNA-Ser". Lineage: Bacteria; Bacillati; Actinomycetota; Actinomycetes; Pseudonocardiales; Pseudonocardiaceae. The record is from RNAcentral.
CGGCCAGCUGGCCGAGCUGGGCGGCUGGCACCUCGACGGUGGUCAGCGUGCACGGGUCGCCACCGUGCGGGCCGAC